RNAcentral lists this long non-coding RNA (229 nucleotides) under Elaeis guineensis (African oil palm). Its description in RNAcentral is "long non-coding RNA (EGUI_LNC054622)". Lineage: Eukaryota; Viridiplantae; Streptophyta; Magnoliopsida; Arecales; Arecaceae. The record is from RNAcentral.
GUAUGGCAAUGUUAAAUUCUUGCAUUCCUGAAUGAGAUAGGACCACCACCCUAUAGGUAGGAGAUAUAAGGCAUUAGUCAAUUAUUAUUACAUAAGAUUGACUGUAUAGUUUGCAUUAUAAAUAUGUAGGCAUAGAUCGUAGUUGGAUGUCAUUGCACGAUAAGUUCUGUCCCGAGUAUAUUACGUGUAUGAUAUUUUUCAUAAAUGUGGCAUUCAAUCACACUAGGGA